UCGAACGAAGCACUCUAUUUGAUUUUCUUCGGAAAUGAAGAUUUUGUGACUGAGUGGCGGACGGGUGAGUAACGCGUGGGUAACCUGCCUCAUACAGGGGGAUAACAGUUGGAAACGACUGGUAAUACCGCAUAAGCGCACAGCUUCGCAUGAAGCGGUGUGAAAAACUCCGGUGGUGUGAGAUGGACCCGCGUCUGAUUAGGUAGUUGGUGAGGUAACGGCCCACCAAGCCGACGAUCAGUAGCCGACCUGAGAGGGUGACCGGCCACAUUGGGACUGAGACACGGCCCAGACUCCUACGGGAGGCAGCAGUGGGGAAUAUUGCACAAUGGAGGAAACUCUGAUGCAGCGACGCCGCGUGAGUGAAGAAGUAUUUCGGUAUGUAAAGCUCUAUCAGCAGGGAAGACAGUGACGGUACCUGACUAAGAAGCUCCGGCUAAAUACGUGCCAGCAGCCGCGGUAAUACGUAUGGAGCAAGCGUUAUCCGGAUUUACUGGGUGUAAAGGGAGUGUAGGUGGUAUCACAAGUCAGAAGUGAAAGCCCGGGGCUCAACCCCGGGACUGCUUUUGAAACUGUGGAACUGGAGUGCAGGAGAGGUAAGUGGAAUUCCUAGUGUAGCGGUGAAAUGCGUAGAUAUUAGGAGGAGCACCAGUGGCGAAGGCGGCUUACUGGACUGUAACUGACACUGAGGCUCGAAAGCGUGGGGAGCAAACAGG
RNAcentral lists this ribosomal RNA (716 nucleotides) under uncultured Lachnospiraceae bacterium. Its description in RNAcentral is "bacterial SSU rRNA". It matches the Rfam family "Bacterial small subunit ribosomal RNA", at positions 62 to 776 of the family's 1533-position model. Lineage: Bacteria; Bacillati; Bacillota; Clostridia; Lachnospirales; Lachnospiraceae. The record is from RNAcentral.